GUCUCUGUGGCUCAGUCGGUAGAGCGUUGGUCUCAUAUUAUCUUGUCAAUAUGACGCUGGCAUCCAAGCCAGGGAUAUCCAAAGGUCGCAAGUUCGAGCCUUGCCAGGGACA
This 112-nucleotide transfer RNA is filed under the name Colletotrichum chlorophyti. It matches the Rfam family "tRNA". Rfam says of the family: Transfer RNA (tRNA) molecules are approximately 80 nucleotides in length. Their secondary structure includes four short double-helical elements and three loops (D, anti-codon, and T loops). Lineage: Eukaryota; Fungi; Ascomycota; Sordariomycetes; Glomerellales; Glomerellaceae. The record is from Rfam by way of RNAcentral.